RNAcentral lists this ribosomal RNA (426 nucleotides) under uncultured bacterium. RNAcentral describes it as "partial 16S ribosomal RNA". It matches the Rfam family "Bacterial small subunit ribosomal RNA", at positions 354 to 796 of the family's 1533-position model. The record is from RNAcentral.
GUCGAGAAUCUUGGGCAAUGCGCGAAAGCGUGACCCAGCAAUGCCGCGUGUAUGAUGAAGGCCCUCGGGUCGUAAAGUACUGUCUCCCGUGACGAAAUUUGACGGUAGCGGGGAAGGAAGCCACGGCUAACUACGUGCCAGCAGCCGCGGUAAUACGUAGGUGGCGAGCGUUGUUCGGAUUUAUUGGGCGUAAAGGGUCUGUAGGAGGUUUGUUAAAUACGGGGUGAAAUCCCGAAGCUCAACUUCGGAAUUGCCUUGUAGACUGACGGACUGGAGUACCGGAGAGGUAAGCGGAAUACCAGGUGUAGCGGUGGAAUGCGUAGAUAUCUGGUAGAACACCAAAAGCGAAGGCAGCUUGCUGGACGGAAACUGACUCUGAAAGACGAAAGCAUGGGGAGCAAACAGGAUUAGAUACCCUUGUAGUCC